Molecule: ribosomal RNA, 253 nt
Filed under: uncultured bacterium
Lineage: Bacteria
Description: partial 16S ribosomal RNA
Rfam family: Bacterial small subunit ribosomal RNA
Source: RNAcentral
UACGUAGGGUGCGAGCGUUGUCCGGAUUUACUGGGCGUAAAGCGCGUGUAGGCGGCCCGUUAAGUGGGGUGUGAAAGCCCGGGGCUCAACCCCGGGACGCCGCUUCAAACUGGCGGGCUUGAGGACGGAAGAGGGGAGUGGAAUUCCUGGUGUAGCGGUGAAAUGCGUAGAGAUCGUAAGGAAGACCAGUGGCGAAGGCGGGUCUCUGGACAGUUCCUGACACUGAGGCACGAAGGCCAGGGGAGCAAACGGG